This 220-nucleotide unclassified non-coding RNA is filed under the name plant metagenome. Its description in RNAcentral is "partial contains small subunit ribosomal RNA, internal transcribed spacer 1, and 5.8S ribosomal RNA". The stretch from base 173 to 220 matches the Rfam family "5.8S ribosomal RNA", at positions 1 to 49 of the family's 154-position model. The record is from RNAcentral.
UCUCCGUUGGUGAACCAGCGGAGGGAUCAUUAUCGAGUUUAUAACUCCCAAACCCUAUGUGAACUUACCACUUGUUGCUUCGGCGCGCGCUUCGGCGCCGCCGAGGACACUUAAACUCUUUGUUUUUAUAAGCAUUUCUGAGUGGCCGAAAGGCAAAAUACAAAUGAAUCAAAACUUUCAACAACGGAUCUCUUGGUUCUGGCAUCGAUGAAGACGCAGC